Molecule: ribosomal RNA, 1083 nt
Filed under: Amphilonche elongata
Lineage: Eukaryota; Acantharea; Arthracanthida; Acanthometridae
Description: SSU rRNA
Rfam family: Eukaryotic small subunit ribosomal RNA
Source: RNAcentral
UUAAGUCUCUAUUCUGAGUUCUUUAUGGGCCUGCUUCUUUGACAGAAACUUCUAUGUUAUUCAUUUAGCGUGGGUAGCGACUGUCUCUUUUACUUUGAGAAAAUUAGAGUGUUCAAAGGAGGUAUUCGCCUGAAUAUUACUCUUGGAAUAAUGCUAUAAGACUUUGGUUCUAAUGUAUUGGUGAUUGGGACCAGAGUAAUGAUUGAUAGGGACGGUUGGGGUCUUACGUACUGCAAAGCGAGAGGUGAAAUUCUUGGACCUUUGUAUGACGAACAACUGCGAAAGCAUUGGACUAGGACGUUCCCGUUGAUCAAGAACGAAAGUUGGGGGAUCGAAGACGAUCAGAUACCGUCGUAGUCUCAACCAUAAACUAUGCCAGCUAGGGAUCGGAGGAAGUUACAAGUUCGACUCCUUCGGCACCUUAUGAGAAAUCAAAGCAUUUGGGUUCCGGGGGGAGUAUGGUCGCAAGGCUGAAACUUAAAGGAAUUGACGGGAGGGCACCACCAGGAGUGGAGCCUGUGGCUUAAUUUGACUCAACACGGGAAAACUUACCAGGUCCGGACAUAGUAAGGAUUGACAGAUUGAAAGCUCUUUCUUGAUUCUAUGGGUGGUGGUGCAUGGCCGUUCUUAGUUGGUGGAGUGAUUUGUCUGGUUAAUUCCGUUAACGAACGAGACCUCAGCCUGCUAAAUAGUGUAAUUUUCUUUCGAAGGUUUGCACUUCUUAGAGGGACUACUUGUGAAACAACCAAGCGGAAGCUUGAGGCAAUAACAGGUCUGUGAUGCCCUUAGAUGUUCUGGGCCGCACAUGGGCUACACUGGUGCAUUCAACAAGCAUAAUCAUCUUAACCGAAGGGUUUGGAUAAUCUUUGAAAUUGCACCGUGCUUGGGAUAGACUAUUGCAAUUUUUAGUCUUCAACGAGGAAUUCCUAGUAAACGCAAGUCAUCAGCUUGCAUUGAUUACGUCCCUGCCCUUUGUACACACCGCCCGUCGCUCCUACCGAUUGGAUGAUUCGGUAAGCUUUUGGGAUUGAUUGCGUAUUUCUCAUUGAGGGUACGUUAAAACAACUUAAUCAAACCUAAUCA